Molecule: non-coding RNA, 375 nt
Organism: Mus pahari (shrew mouse)
Lineage: Eukaryota; Metazoa; Chordata; Mammalia; Rodentia; Muridae
Source: the annotation of a RefSeq genome assembly
AUGGAAUGGAGCUGGAUCUUUCUCUUCCUUCUGUCAGUAACUGCAGGUGCCCACUCCCAGGUCCAGCUGCAGCAGUCUGGAGCUGAGCUGGUGAAGCCUGGGGCCUCAGUGAAGAUGUCCUGCCAGGCUUCUGGUUACAAAUUCAAUAGCUUCAACAUAGACUGGGUGAAGCAGAGCCAUGGAAAGACCCCUGAGUGGAUUGGAUAUAUUAAUCCUGGAAAUGGUGCUACUGGCUACAAUCAAAAGUUCAAGGGCAAGGCCACACUGACUGCAGACACAUCCUCCAGCACAGCCUACAUGCAACUCAGCAGCCUGACAUCUGAGGACACUGCAGUCUAUUACUGUGCAAGACACAGUGUUGCAACCACAUCCUGA